UACGGAGGGUGCAAGCGUUAAUCGGAAUUACUGGGCGUAAAGCGCGCGUAGGUGGUUUGAUAAGCGAGAUGUGAAAAGCCCCCGGGCUACCACGGUGAACGGCAUUUCGAACUGUCAGGCUAGAGUAUGGUAGAGGAGUGUGGAAUUUCCUGUGUAGCGGUGAAAUGCGUAGAUAUAGGAAGGAACACCAGUGGCGAAGGCGGCACUCUGGACCAAUACUGACACUGAGGUGCGAAAGCGUGGGGGAGCAAACAGGAUUAGAUACCCCGU
This 270-nucleotide ribosomal RNA is filed under the name uncultured bacterium. Its description in RNAcentral is "partial 16S ribosomal RNA". It matches the Rfam family "Bacterial small subunit ribosomal RNA", at positions 524 to 790 of the family's 1533-position model. The record is from RNAcentral.